GGGGAUUUAGCUCAGCGGCAAAAGCACCUGUCUUGCAAUCAGGCGGUUGUGAGUUCGAUCUCCAGUUCCGA
This is a transfer RNA of Cavia porcellus (domestic guinea pig), 71 nucleotides long. It matches the Rfam family "tRNA". From Rfam's summary of the family: Transfer RNA (tRNA) molecules are approximately 80 nucleotides in length. Their secondary structure includes four short double-helical elements and three loops (D, anti-codon, and T loops). Further hydrogen bonds mediate the characteristic L-shaped molecular structure. tRNAs have two regions of fundamental functional importance: the anti-codon, which is responsible for specific mRNA codon recognition, and the 3' end, to which the tRNAs corresponding amino acid is attached (by aminoacyl-tRNA synthetases). tRNAs cope with the degeneracy of the genetic code in two manners: having more than one tRNA (with a specific anti-codon) for a particular amino acid; and 'wobble' base-pairing, i.e. permitting non-standard base-pairing at the 3rd anti-codon position. Lineage: Eukaryota; Metazoa; Chordata; Mammalia; Rodentia; Caviidae. The record is from Rfam.